This 253-nucleotide ribosomal RNA is filed under the name uncultured bacterium. RNAcentral's name for it is "partial 16S ribosomal RNA". It matches the Rfam family "Bacterial small subunit ribosomal RNA", at positions 524 to 776 of the family's 1533-position model. The record is from RNAcentral.
UACGUAGGGGGCAAGCGUUGUUCGGAAUUACUGGGCGUAAAGGGCGCGUAGGCGGCAUGGCAAGUCAGGAGUGAAAGCCCGGGGCUCAACCCCGGAACGUCUUUUGAAACUGCCAAGCUAGAGUGCGGAAGAGGCAACUGGAAUUCCCAGUGUAGCGGUGAAAUGCGUAGAUAUUGGGAAGAACACCUGAGGCGAAGGCGGGUUGCUGGGCCGACACUGACGCUGAGGCGCGAAAGCGUGGGGAGCGAACAGG